This 253-nucleotide ribosomal RNA is filed under the name uncultured bacterium. Its description in RNAcentral is "partial 16S ribosomal RNA". It matches the Rfam family "Bacterial small subunit ribosomal RNA", at positions 524 to 776 of the family's 1533-position model. The record is from RNAcentral.
GACGUAGGAGGCGAGCGUUGUCCGGAUUUACUGGGCGUAAAGCGUGCGCAGGCGGUUCGUUGUGUCGGUGGUGAAAGCCCCGGGCUUAACCUGGGAAUGGCCAUGGAAACUGGGAGACUUGAGUGUGGCAGAGGGGGGUGGAAUUCCACGUGUAGCAGUGAAAUGCGUAGAUAUGUGGAGGAACACCGAUGGCGAAGGCAGCCCCCUGGGUUAACACUGACGCUCAUGCACGAAAGCGUGGGGAGCAAACAGG